AGAAUUGGCCUAGAGUUCCGCCCUCCUCACCUUAAUGCUUCUGCUAAAAUAUACAGCUAUGCUUGCUGAAGAUUAAGAAGCUGCUUUUGAUUCUGGCAGAUAUUCAUCUCAAAGAGAAAAAAAAAACCCUAGUGUCUUCAUUUGGUAGCAUUUUAAUAUUUAAUUUUCCUUAUCUGCUUCAACUUAAGAUGACUUCCUUGUUGGCCUAAUUGACUAGUAAUUCCUUUGUUUACUUUUUUCUGAAUCUGAGGAACCAAGGCAUAAGUAUUAAAAAUGGUUACAUUAGCACUUAACUUUUUUAUGAAAUUAGAGUAUUUCAGAAAGGGGUAAUUUAGGCAGGAAUAUAUGUAGAAUUUUGCAUUUUAAUUAAAAAGCCUCAAAAUGAAAUGAACCUCUGACAGUAACAGAUGACUGCUUCUAAAAGCUGCAUUACUAUUUGAUAUAUGUUCAGUAUUUUCUUGUGGAUAAUAAGUCCUAUGACUUGUUUCAGGAAAAGUGACAGGACUAAAACAAUUAAAAAAGACAAAGCUGUUCUUUUUUAAUCAUAUACUCAUAAAUAAAACUGGGUUGUGAAUUAUUUCCAGUGAAGCAACUGACAAAGUAUGAGUAAAUCACUCUAAGAACUAAAGCUGUCUUGCUUUUUUUUUUUUUCUUUUUUGGAAUGUUCAAAGCAAACCUCUAUCCUAGUCCAAUGAUAAAUUUCCUUUGACAAAUAAAUAUUUACAAAGUAUGAAAUAUAGACUUCGUGCACUUCCUAAGGCCAAAGCAUCAUGUUUAAACUAAAAUUUAAUAUUUUCUCUCUCCUCAAAUACACCAAAAUAAGAACAGAACUUAAAAAUAAUUUUCUCUUGCAGCAGAGUGUCCAUUAAUCAUUUUUCAGAUAAUAUUGGCUUUGUGAGUGUUCAGGUAGAAAGAAAAACUGUAAUUUCUAGAUUGAUCAGAAAACCUGAGAGUCUUUAUGGAUUUGAAGAAAACAAUAAAACCUGGCAAAACAGAAUUUUCUGUAGCCCCCAUCAUAAAGUCAAGAAGGACAAAUCUUUCAACAAGCUCCUACUUUCCUAUGAAAAUCCUUUAUGUGGUAAAGGGCUUGAUUAGGUAGAUCAAAGGGUUAAUUUACUUGUGAUUUGAGAAAAGACUGAGACUUCCCUUUUAUUUUAUUUUAUUUAUUUUUUUUAACUGUGGUGUGUGGGAGGAAGGUAGGAAGAGGCCCCAGAAUGAAUUCACUAAUUGGGGUUUUCACCUGCUGUGGGUCUAAUCGAAUACAAUGCCUUAUUUGUAGCUAAAGAGGAGGGCAGAUUAUGCAGAGUGUCAGAAUUUCUGCCUAGUUUUGAAAUUCCUGUUAUUUGGCACCACCCUUUGGGAAAGGCAGACAGUUACAGCUUAGAGCUGUUGUUAAGGUGGACCAGGGAUGCUUGAACCACCUUAACCAGUAUCCAUUUUUAGCAAGAGGUUCUGUGCUUCUGUACCCGGGUUAGCACUAUAGCUGGCAGGCUAAUAGGUACUCGGGAUUCUUUACCGGGAAGCAACUGCCAAGCCUGUGAGGUUAAUGAAGUGUGGCUUUAUUUUAGUGAAGAUGCUAAACUUCACAUCUUUUUAGAUGUUCAGUUUGAUAUAGGUGUCUCUGUGAAGUUUGAAAAAUCUUAUUAAAAGAAUACUGUAUGAGAGUAAAGCCAAGUUUGACUUUAUCUAGAACCUGUUUGGUGGUUUACGUGGUAGCUGGCUCAGAGAACUUUCCUCAGCCUCACUUACUCUGCCUCCCUGCAGGGGAAGUGCCUGGAAAAAUAGGCUUUUGUGUGGGUGUGAAGUGCUCUGUGUCUGAAUGUAGAGGCCUCUUCAUUUACUAGUUAAUGAGAACUGACUGGAUAUUUUCUAUCCAGAAGAUGGUGGCUUCAGAUUGAUCUAAAGGGAUUGUUGUACAUACUUUAAUUAGUACACGGUGGUAUUUGCCCUAACAAUGACUCACCAUCACUACAAGCGUUUGUUAGACAUCUGAUUCACUGUUCAGGGCUAACACUUGUACCAUGCAAAGAGAAACAAGGAAUCCUUGGUUCUUAAAACCCAAAUGCUGAAAUUUGACUGUGAAAUGUGUUAUGCUUAGUUGAAGCAAUACCUAUAUGCCAAAUGGGUUUUUAUCAAACGACGCAGGUUAUACUUAAGAUUGGUUAGGGAACAAAAAGCAGUUCAGAUAGAGACUAUUGGAGCCAGAGGGCACUGGAGUCUGAGGGGUGGUGAAGUUCCUCAGGGCCAUCCCCAGGCAAGUGCCUGCUGCAAACUGCAAACUGUUCGCUGUCUUUCCUUUCCCUUGCUGAUCCUCAUUUUACACCGGUAAAAAUCAGGCUAACCCUGCAACUGCAAGCAGCCUAAAAGGAAAAGGAUGUGUUUGUGGAAGAUAGAAGCAGGCUGGCCUGUGUACUUGACCCUUUACACCCUCCACUAGACGGACUCAUCCAAAUCCAUGCCCUACUACAGUGACAUGUCACAUCCAUAGCUCCAAUCCAGAGUCUUCCCUCUGAGUUCCAGACUCAGAAGUACAAGUGCCUUUGACAUCACACUGCCACCUCAAAGUCAUCAGGCUUGAGACUGAAUAUAUCAUCUCUCCCUGACCCUCCCUGCCUAAAUAUGCCUCCUGCCUCUCAAAGUCCUGACUUGGUGAAUAUUACUCAUAUAAUCUUGGGAGUUCUUGUUGUGGUGCAGUGGAAACAAAUCCGGCUAGCAUCCAUGAGGAUGCAGGUUCAAUCCCUGGUCUUGCUCAGUGGGUCAGGGAUCCCAAGUGGCUGGAGGCCAGCAGCUGCAGCUCUAAUUCGACGCCUAGCCUGGAAACUUCCAUAUGUUG
Molecule: long non-coding RNA, 2833 nt
Filed under: Sus scrofa (pig)
Lineage: Eukaryota; Metazoa; Chordata; Mammalia; Artiodactyla; Suidae
Description: lncRNA (ENSSSCG00025044855.1)
Source: RNAcentral